AAGCUGUGUCCGGCCCGGGUAGAUGGAGUCCGCUCUCCAACCCUAAUUUUGUUUGAUCGAAGAGUUGAAGAUCUUCUCAUCUUCUCGUGGGACGGCGACGUCUGGGCUCCUUAUCGCCAUCUGAAACGGUCCGAGCUGUGACACCGUGUUUAAUCCCAUUCAAUGCGUCAUUUAGAUCUGCAGCAAGACGGUGUAUAAUCUAUAUAAAUAUAUGACCCAUAUCUUAGCCGGCACCGACAAACUAUUGAGAUGUAUCUGACAGAAAAUUACACUAUUCGGACUAUGGUAUCAAAACCAUAAAGGUCAAGACUAUUUACUCACCUCUUACUCAUUAGGUGAAAGUGCAUGACUAUAUACCUUUCGUAUGUGAUUGCAGCUUGAUGGUGUGGAUGAGGACGAGCUUUCAAGGCUAUCUCUUUCCUCUUUUGUCGUUCUUGUCAAAAACAGUUGUGGAGUAGGCCUAUUGUGGAGAGAAAGCAUCAACAAUAGCAGAUGCAGACACAAUAGUGAAUGGCUCCACAACAUCAGAAGCAUAAACAGCAUUAGUGGUUGCUAAAAGAGCUGAGUCUGGUGGUCAACAAGGCUCUGUUAUAUAUCUUCUCGCCAACCAUAUUCUUGUCAAGUUUGAUCCUGCACAGAAGAUUUACCAUUACAACGUUGAGAUCUCUCCACAAGCCCUUCAAAGGAAAUCGCUGGGAUGAUCAAACAAAAACUCGUGGAGACUGAGCAUAGUAGUUUAUCUGGUGCUGUCCCUGCUUUUGAUGGUAGGAAAAACAUUUACAGCCCUGUGGAGUUUCAAGAAGAUAGGCUUGAGUUUUUGGCUAACCUCCCUAUCUCAUCCUGCAAUACUUAGAUCAAGUUUGGUGACCUGCGUUAGAAGCUACCUCGGAAGAAGAUUGAUAAACUGUUUAGGGAUAACAUGAGGCUUGUGUCCAAGUUUGAUUGGAAGGAGCAGAGAGAGGAAGUCGAUGGGAAGGAGCAGAGAAAGCAAGUCGAAAUCUGGGCUUCACUUCCUAGAGAAUGCAUUCAUGCUCUUGAGGGAGAAUUCAAUAGAGAAGUGUACAUCGCUUGGAACAUCUUCAUUAUUAAGUACUGUAUAAAUUGGACACCUCAUUAUCAUUUUUUAAGAAAAUUAUAAAUCA
Molecule: long non-coding RNA, 1142 nt
Organism: Brassica oleracea var. oleracea
Lineage: Eukaryota; Viridiplantae; Streptophyta; Magnoliopsida; Brassicales; Brassicaceae
Exons: 3
Source: RefSeq, a predicted model, not a curated record